GACGAACGCUGGCGGCGUGCCUAACACAUGCAAGUCGAACGGAAAGGCCAUGCUUUUGUGGGGCGCUCGUGUGGCGAACGGGUGAGUAACACGUGAGUAACAUGCCCUUGAAUUUGGGAUAAAUUCAGGAAACUGGGGCUAAUAUCGGAUAGGAGCUCUUGAUGCAUGGUGGGGGUUGGUAAGUUUCGGCGGUUGGGGAUGGACUCGCGGCUUAUCAGCUUGUUGGUGGGGUAGUGGCUUACAAAGGUUUUGACGGAUAGCCGGCCUGAGCGGGUGACCGGCGACAUGAGGACUGAGAGACGGACCAGACGCGUACGGGAGGCAACGGUGGAGAGCAUUGCACAGUGGGGGGGCGCGAGAUGCGACAGCGCCGGGUUCGGGAAGCUGGCUUACUGGUUGUGAACCACUUUGUCCGGUAAUAUGGCGGGAUUGACGGUAAUGGGUAAAGAAGCACCGGCUAACUACGUG
This 468-nucleotide ribosomal RNA is filed under the name uncultured bacterium. RNAcentral describes it as "partial 16S ribosomal RNA". It matches the Rfam family "Bacterial small subunit ribosomal RNA", at positions 28 to 507 of the family's 1533-position model. The record is from RNAcentral.